ACAAAGGUUGACUUACAUGAUUCACAAUACUCGUCUACUAAGCCUACUACUAAUCGCCUUUAAUGUGCGCGGUAUGCUGGUAGAUUGAAUUAAGAGUUAAUCUUUACCAGAGAUAAAAACCCGCGCCUGACGCGGGUUUUUUU
This 143-nucleotide small RNA is filed under the name Xenorhabdus innexi. RNAcentral describes it as "Leu_leader". It matches the Rfam family "Leucine operon leader". Rfam says of the family: At least 6 amino acid operons are known to be regulated by attenuation. In each a leader sequence of 150-200 bp is found upstream of the first gene in the operon. The record is from RNAcentral. Lineage: Bacteria; Pseudomonadati; Pseudomonadota; Gammaproteobacteria; Enterobacterales; Morganellaceae.